GGCUCAGGAUGAACGCUAGCUACAGGCUUAACACAUGCAAGUCAGGGGGCAGCACAGUGUAGCAAUACAUGGGUGGCGACCGGCGCAAGGGUGCGUAACGCGUGAGCAACUUGCCCGUUUCAGGGGGAUAACCGGUGGAAACGCCGACUAAUACCCCAUAGUAUUGCGAGAAGGCAUCUUUUUGCAAUUAAAGAAUUUCGGAAACGGAUAGGCUCGCGUGACAUUAGCUAGAUGGUGAGGUAACGGCUCACCAUGGCGACGAUGUCUAGGGGUUCUGAGAGGAAGGUCCCCCACACUGGAACUGAGACACGGUCCAGACUCCUACGGGAGGCAGCAGUGAGGAAUAUUGGUCAAUGGUCGAAGGACUGAACCAGCCAUGCCGCGUGAAGGUGACGGCCCUAUGGGUCUUAAACUUCUUUUGUAAGGGAGCAAUAAGAUCUACGUGUAGAUUGAUGAGAGUACCUUACGAAUAAGCAUCGGCUAACUCCGUG
RNAcentral lists this ribosomal RNA (491 nucleotides) under uncultured bacterium. RNAcentral describes it as "bacterial SSU rRNA". It matches the Rfam family "Bacterial small subunit ribosomal RNA", at positions 21 to 507 of the family's 1533-position model. The record is from RNAcentral.